GACGAACGCUGGCGGCGUGCUUAACACAUGCAAGUCGAACGGAAAGGCCCUGCUUGCAGGGUACUCGAGUGGCGAACGGGUGAGUAACACGUGGGUGAUCUGCCCUGCACUUCGGGAUACGCCUGGGAAACUGGGGCUAAUACCGGAUAGGCGCGAUUUUUAGUGUGAUGGUUGGACAGAAUUUUCGGUGUGGGAUGGGACUGCGGCCUAGCCGCUUGUUGGUGGGGUAAUGGUCUACCAAGGCGGCGACGGGUAGCCGGCCUGAGAGGGUGGACGGGCACAUUGGCACUGGGACUCGGCCCCGACUCCUACGGCUAGCGGCAGCGGCGAUGAUUGAUCUAGCGGCGCGAGCCUGAUGCAGCGACGCCGCGUGGGCGUUGACGGCCUUCGGGUUGGUAUCUCCUUUCGCUAUGGUCGAAGCUUUUUGUGACGGUACCUAGAGAAGAAGCCCCGGCUAACUACGUG
Molecule: ribosomal RNA, 465 nt
Filed under: uncultured bacterium
Lineage: Bacteria
Description: partial 16S ribosomal RNA
Rfam family: Bacterial small subunit ribosomal RNA
Source: RNAcentral